Molecule: long non-coding RNA, 352 nt
Filed under: Lathyrus oleraceus (garden pea)
Lineage: Eukaryota; Viridiplantae; Streptophyta; Magnoliopsida; Fabales; Fabaceae
Description: Pisum sativum (pea) long non-coding RNA (PSAT_LNC016814)
Source: RNAcentral
AAGGGUUGCAGAGAGAAAAGCUUGAAGCUUAAAGAUUCGUCGGAUUAACUCAGGUAAGGGGGGUUUAUCGUCGAUUAACGGGUAUUAUGGGAUAAUAUGUAAUGGGUAGUAGUAGACCAUCAAUUUGUCCCUGAUUAGAAUGAUGCAUGAUGAAUUUGUGAAAUAUUGGAUGAAUAAAAAAUUGGUUUAUGAUCGAAAGGAAGUCGUAGGAAUUAGACGUAAAAAUGUUAGAAUUGGUGAAAUCGAAUAGGGGAGAAUUCGUGUUAGGUGAUAUGAACGAUUAUUGUGUAAAAUUGGACUGUGGAAGGUUGGAAUUGGGAGAUCUCGUAGCAGAGGACACCAUUGCAGAUCC